RNAcentral lists this long non-coding RNA (2933 nucleotides) under Fukomys damarensis (Damara mole-rat). RNAcentral describes it as "lncRNA (ENSFDAG00000024444.1)". Lineage: Eukaryota; Metazoa; Chordata; Mammalia; Rodentia; Bathyergidae. The record is from RNAcentral.
AUGUGCGGAAAGGGGUGGAGGAGCCCUGAGCAGAAGCGUGCGGGAAGUGUGUCUGCGCCCCUCAUCCGCCUGGACAAUGCAAAGGCGCCAUCCCGUGUUCGGCUGAUGGAGCAGGACAGGAUCCACCAUGACAGUCUGUGGAGGACCGCAGGGAAAGCAAGGGUCACCGCAGCGGCAGGAAAACAGGCUCCUGCUUCACAGGCUGCCCCAUCAAGGUUGGGCUCUGAGAAAGCGAAAGGCAAAAGUGCCAUCAAAUGCGGCGUGUUGGCCCAGCCCAGAGGCUGUGAAGGCUUUUUGCAAACGCACCUGUCAGGUGAAGAUGCUCCUAAUGCCCGUUGUUGUCCUUCUACUUCCUCGUGGAAUUAUUUUUUGAGUGUCUUUGCCAUCAUAAUAAAAUCCCAAAUUUACUUUUGCUCCUACUGGCUUUUAUCUCAUGGAUCUGUUCGCCCCAGACACAUAUUUUCCCAAGGACUUGAGCCCUCAGGCUGGACGCUGUCUACAUCCAAGGUCAGAGCUGGGGAGGUGUGGGCCAGCACGCCUGCCCUGGGGGUUUAUCCCUAGGGUUGCUAGGAGUGACAGCAAAGAGCCAGGCUGCCUGAUGAAUCCAACGAACAGAAAAAUCUGUCAAAACAUACAGAACGUUCAUUGCAGGGAUCGUGGAAACAUUGCCUAUUUGUUUGGAGCACGUUUAAUUAUUUUUAAACAUAUGCAGCCUGUAGUUCAGUGAACAUGUCAGGGAUAAUAGAGGAAGCAAAGCAAAUGAAGGGAGGCGACACUGGUCCUGGAGUGACUCCUCCCCACAGCUGGCUGCGGGGAGAGGCCGUCUAUGCCCUGCGAAGUGUGGCUCCCUGUCUGUCACCUAAUGAAACGCAGUAGGGGGAUUAAUGUCAUUAGCUCCGGGCUGGCAUGCUGUGUGGUAAACAGACAGACACCCUCGCUCAUUUGGGGGAGUUUCUCGACUCCUGCCCACCAGCCACAGAGGUCACUCCCCGGCCUUCCAUUAGUUAAAUGGGAAGAAAUUGGGCUGCCGGAAUCUGUGGUUUGCUUCCAUGAGAGCAGUGGCUGGAGAUUCUCGCACCUAAUUCUGUCCUUCCCUCCUUUUGCUCCUCCUAAUUCGAGCUGAGAUGUCUUCUUUGAAGGAAACCCUAGCUCAACAGAGAAGAUUAAAGCCCUCCAAGCAAAUACAACUACAGAAGAAAACAUUCAAUUUGUCUCAGUAACCAAAUGGACUAAGGACUGUGGACAGAACGGGAGGGUUGCCCUUUGGGUAUCAGGACAUCUCUUCUCACUCUGGAACCAGGAGCUUUUAAUGCCUAUGAACCUGUACAAUGCUGAAUACUAAGAAAGGAACGUGUUCACUUUGCCCCAGUACAUGGAAAUACGGAAAGAAAAUAGCUACAAGGAAAUAAAAAGUGAGUAUUUUGUAUUCUCAGAAAACAGACAUUUUAACUUUCAGUUAGUACUGGACAUUACUAGCGGCUGGGGGAAAACAAGAGAAUAUCAAGAAGACUGAACUUCCAAAGGAUGAUAGUGACCCAUGGUUGGCCAUGCCAGCGAAGUUCAGCUAAGUGGAGGAACACACAGCAUCCUCCAGAUGCAACCCGAGAGAACCUGAGAAGCUAAACAAGGAGGGUAAAAUGAAGAAGAAACAGCCAAGGAAAAGCAGCAUGGGGGAAAUUCAGACUUGCUUCAAUUUUACACAAAUAGUAGAUAAAAAAAGACAACAAUAAAUAUCACCUUGUAAAAAUUCACCUUAAUUUUUUCCUUACCAAGGCAGAACACUAUGCCUUACACUAAAAACUUGGAACUGUGUUAUGACAUUGUGGAUAGCAUACCGAUCUGCAGCAAUAAACAUUACCAUCACAGAAAUAUUAUGAAAAAGUAAAAGAAAAAAAUUGAGGACCAUUUGUAUUUCUCAAGCCAAACACUCAGUUCUGGACCCCUCCAUGUGCCCAGGGCUGACUACCUUGGCAUCUCUGGGAGUCAGUUUUCUUGAAGAACAUCGUGGUAGGGACAGUUUUCUCUCCUGUUAUUGGCAGACCAAUAAGGGAGUGGAAAAGAGACGGCCAAGAAGAGUAUUCCAUCAUCAAAUAAACAACUCAGGAAGAAAUAAGCCACAUUUCAAUGUUUUAGAUUUUCAAGAUUAGCCAGAUUUUCUAGGCCUCACCUACUUCCAGAUAGAAAUGACAUUUAGGAAAUCAAUUCCAGUGUUGAGGGUUUUUCCCCACUGUCCUGGUCAACAUGGAGCCUCAGCCAGUUCUCCCAGGUCCUACCCCACAAACAUUCAAGAGAGAGGCAGCUUCUCUGGUGCCCUGGCCGCUUUGGAGAACAGCAGCUGGGCGGGGUAUAGUCCUUUGUCCUCGACUGGCCAACUGUGUUCCCAGGAACAUGGCGACCCCAACAGGGAAGAGCAUCACUGCCCUGCCCACGCAACUGCUUCCUGGCCUUUCCAAAGUCACUGUUCCCUGCCCUUCUCGCCUCGCUGUCCACUCGCCUGCAUGCAAACAGAGGACCUCAGGAGUCAGAUGGAGGCACAGGGCCAGCUUGGGCCAGAUUGGAGGAGAUCCUCUUUGAUUUGUUCUUCUGAGUGCUGUUUCUUGUGCAUUCUUUUGCCUCCUGCUGGGUUUGGUUCUCUUUCAGUGGAACAUUGGGCAUGUUGAUGUCCGGGGGGGUGGGGAUGAAAGGUGGGGUGCUGGCAGGUGGGGUUGGCUUCUGUUGUCUGAACAGUUGGUUUCUGACGGUUUCUGGAUUGAACCAGAAUCUAUCUUCUAGAAGUUUGAUUAUCAAAACUUGUAAGAAAAUAUUUACAUCCUAUAAGAAUUAAUAUAUAAAAAUAAAAAACAGCUUAUUGAACAGGAAAGGAUACUAAUGAAACACUAGAAAUUGCUUUUUCAAAAGAGAAGCAAUAAAUUCUGCACAUAAUUACAGGGGAA